This 504-nucleotide ribosomal RNA is filed under the name uncultured bacterium. Its description in RNAcentral is "bacterial SSU rRNA". It matches the Rfam family "Bacterial small subunit ribosomal RNA", at positions 9 to 507 of the family's 1533-position model. The record is from RNAcentral.
CGAGUUUGAUCAUGGCUCAGAUUGAACGCUGGCGGAAUGCUUUACACAUGCAAGUCGAACGGCAGCACGGGGCAACCUGGUGGCGAGUGGCGAACGGGUGAGUAAUACAUCGGAACGUGCCCAGUCGUGGGGGAUAACGUAGCGAAAGCUACGCUAAUACCGCAUACGAUCUACGGAUGAAAGCGGGGGACUCGCAAGAGCCUCGCGCGAUUGGAGCGGCCGAUGGCAGAUUAGGUAGUUGGUGGGGUAAAGGCUCACCAAGCCUGCGAUCUGUAGCUGGUCUGAGAGGACGACCAGCCACACUGGGACUGAGACACGGCCCAGACUCCUACGGGAGGCAGCAGUGGGGAAUUUUGGACAAUGGGCGAAAGCCUGAUCCAGCCAUUCCGCGUGCAGGAUGAAGGCCCUCGGGUUGUAAACUGCUUUUGUACGGAACGAAACGGCCUUUUCUAAUACAGAGGGCUAAUGACGGUACCGUAAGAAUAAGCACCGGCUAACUACGUG